AUCGGCGUGGGUCAUUAGCAUGGAGAUCUGUACUCCAGUUGUGCUUCGAUUCGUGCGAUCGUGCUCCGAUCUGUGCUUCAAUUCGUGGGAUCAUGGGUGUCGCCGUCGGUCUGGCCAUGGGUCGUGGUUGUGGUGCUUGUUUUGCCGUGGUGCUAGGUUUCUAUUUUUGUCAUGGGUUGCUGUGGGUUUCUAUUUGGUUUCCAUUUUUGUCUUUUGGGUUGCUGAAUUUUUGAUUUGUAAGGUGCUCGAUUGUGGGUAUUGGUUGUGGCGGUAUCGGUGCUCGAUUCGUGGGUUUGGGUUGCCGGUGUUAGUGGGUUUUGGUUGUGUUUUCUGGGUCUGAGUUGCUGUGUUUUUUGGGUUUGGGUCUGGGUUUGCUGUGUUUUUCUCAGUUUAGUGCUAGUGUAUCAGAGAUGGAGAAAUGAAUUGUUCUGGGUUUGGGUCUUGCUUGCUCUGUUUCAGAGAUGAGAGAACGAAGAGGAAGAGAGGGACAACAGUUUUCUGACAUUCCAUACCAUUCUCCACUGCUCUGAUUUGGUCAGAUAAAAGUUGUCCUUGAUGUGGCUCUGAAGAUCAAGUGAAUAGUUCUACUAUCUGGGACCCCUUCUUUUUCGAGGUUGUGGCACAUUUAAACAAUGCGACCAUUCCUUUUUAAUUGAUACUCUAUCUCACUUGGCUUUCUAAUGUUUUGUGUGGCUUUAUUUUUUAAUUUUUGUUUAAUGAAUUCUAAUAUCUUAGUUGUAUAUUUCCUAGGUGAUCAUAGGCCAUAUGACAUUUUUUCAUCAGGAUUUCUCCAAGGGAAUUUGCUUGGAAGAGUUGAAUGUGUUACUUAGGCAAACUAUUACGGUUUGUGCUCUUGUUCUCAAUAUGUUACUGUUAGUGAAGUUGAAGCACCUUUUGAGCUUUAGAAGAGCAUUAGCAGUUAUGUAAUCAAUGAUGGGUUGAUAAACAAGUUGCCUUGUAUGUUCUUCCACGAGCAGGAGAUUCACUGUGGUAUAUUUUAGUGAACCGCCACCUGCUUCCAGAUAUUAAGAAUGCAGAGGUAUUGCUAAAAUUGUUGCCAUACUUUUCUGAAGGCAUUUUUAAUUGUUUUAAUCCAAAUUUAGUGGUUCAAAACACUAUGAGGACAAAAUCCAGGAUAGUGGGCCUUACCCAUUUUCACUUAUAUUCGUGAAAUUUUAUAAAAAUUUAGAAUCUAUUUAAUGGGUUAAGAAUUUUUUCAAAAGAGGCUAUUCACACACUUAUAGUCUUAUACAUGUUAUUUAUGGUUAAUUCCAAGACAAAUACUAGUUGCCCCUAACAAUAUCUUACUUACAACACUCCUCAGGUUGGGACAUAGAUAUUAUAUAAUCAGAGCUAAUACUAUAUUAUGUAAUUAUUUGUUUAUGUAAUUAAUCUUUUGGCAAUGAACUUGUUUUGUU
Molecule: long non-coding RNA, 1418 nt
Organism: Quercus lobata
Lineage: Eukaryota; Viridiplantae; Streptophyta; Magnoliopsida; Fagales; Fagaceae
Exons: 5
Source: RefSeq, a predicted model, not a curated record